This 281-nucleotide long non-coding RNA is filed under the name Theobroma cacao (cacao). RNAcentral describes it as "long non-coding RNA (TCAC_LNC001030)". Lineage: Eukaryota; Viridiplantae; Streptophyta; Magnoliopsida; Malvales; Malvaceae. The record is from RNAcentral.
CUUAAAGAGCCUAAAAGAAAAGCCUCAAGCCUCUAUCUGCGUCCCCUUCGGAGAGACAUCGACUUAAUAUUCAUCAAUAUUUGGAAAAUCUUGCUUUUUCUGCCUGUGUUGUGACCUAAAUUCAUUCUCAUUUUUGGCACCGAUGUGUUCUUAGUUUAUGAUUUUGUUUGUGUUUCAUGACACGACAAAAACUCUAAAGCCUUGGGCGACCUAAGGAUCAGGAUUGGUACCCCCAUCCAUAACCUAAGGCGUACGUGGAGCCAUAAAUAUCAAUAGCCCCA